Molecule: ribosomal RNA, 466 nt
Filed under: Bichromomyia olmeca
Lineage: Eukaryota; Metazoa; Arthropoda; Insecta; Diptera; Psychodidae
Description: SSU rRNA
Rfam family: Eukaryotic small subunit ribosomal RNA
Source: RNAcentral
UUGCGGUUAAAACGUUCGUAGUUGAAUUUUCGUCCCACACGGGUAAUGUACCCAAGUGCGGGUUUGCAUUACUUGUUGUAUGUGCAUUGGUAAAACAGUGUGCAUAUGACUUUAAGUGUGAUGGAUGUUUUACCGGUGAGGGAAACGACCUAUUCUUGUGUAGUUCGCUAUGCAGUUAGAUACGCCCCUUAUGUAAAAAACCCAUUUUAGUGCUCUUCAUCGAGUGCUAUUGUGGGCCGGUACAAUUACUUUGAACAAAUUAGAGUGCUUAAAGCAGGCUAAAUGUAAUGAAAAUUAUAACGCCUGAAUAUAUUUUGCAUGGAAUAAUGGAAUAGGACCUCUGUUCUAUUUGAUUGGUUUCUAGAUCAAGAGGUAAUGAUUAAUAGAAGCGGUUGGGGGCAUUAGUAUUACAAGGCGAGAGGUGAAAUUCGUAGACCCUUGUAAGACUGACUUAAGCGAAAGCAUU